CCUACGGGGGGCAGCAGUGGGGAAUCUUGCACAAUGGGCGAAAGCCUGAUGCAGCAACGCCGCGUGAGCGAAGAAGGCUUUUGGGUUGUAAAGCUCUGUCCUAAGGGAAGAAGGAAGUGAUGGUACCUUAGGAGGAAGCCUCGGCAAACUACGCGCCAGCAGCAGCGGUAAAACGUAGGGGGCAAGCGUUAUCCGGAAUUAUUGGGCGUAAGGAGUUCGUAGGCGGUUCGUUAAGCGUAGGGUCUAAGGCGAUGGCUUAACCAGCGUUCGCCCGGUGAACUGGAGGACUUGAGUAUCGGAGAGGAAAGCGGAAUUCGUAGUGUAGCGGUGAAAUGCGUAGAUAUUAGGAGGAACACCAGUGGCGAAGGCGGCUUACUGGACGAAAACUGACGCUGAGGUACGAAAGCGUGGGGAGCAAACAGGAUUAGAUACCCCUGUAGUC
RNAcentral lists this ribosomal RNA (442 nucleotides) under uncultured bacterium. Its description in RNAcentral is "partial 16S ribosomal RNA". It matches the Rfam family "Bacterial small subunit ribosomal RNA", at positions 338 to 795 of the family's 1533-position model. The record is from RNAcentral.